This is a long non-coding RNA of Dreissena polymorpha, 2854 nucleotides long. RefSeq lists it as uncharacterized. Lineage: Eukaryota; Metazoa; Mollusca; Bivalvia; Myida; Dreissenidae. The transcript is spliced from 2 exons. The record is from RefSeq and is a predicted model, not a curated record.
UCUUACUGCAGUGAGUAGGUUUCGUCUCACACAUGAUAUAUGAGAUGUAUGUAUGUUUAUAUGUUUAUGGGUUUAUUAUAGGCUUUUCCUCUUUUUUAUGCCCCCCUUCGAAGAAGAGGGGGUAUAUUGCUUUGCUCAUGUCGGUCUGUCGGUCAGUCUGUCGGUCGGUCCGUCCACCAGGUGGUUGUCAGACGAUAACUCAAGAACGCUUGGGUCUAGGAUCAUGAAACUUCAUAGGUACAUUGAUCAUGACUCGCAGAUGACCCCUAUUGAUUUUGAGGUCACUAGGUCAAAGGUCAAGGUCACAGGUGAAGGUCACAGUUACUGGAAAUAGGCAUUUUAAGGAUUUAGCAUGGUUCAAACAAGGGAAACAACUACCGUUUAUGCAUGUUCUUUUUAUUACAGCAUUUGCCUCCCUUUAAUUCAUUUAAAAUCUCAUUUUACAGCAGAGAUUCCAAAUCUGACCUGUAAAUGAGCCCCAUAUUUACUGCCAGUGCUAGGUUACCUUUUCCCAUUUGAUCAUUCUUAAGUAUUGGUAUUGUAAUGCUGCUGCUACUGCUACUGCUGCUACUACUACUUCUACUACUACUACUACUACUACUACUACUACUACUACUACUACUACUACUACUACUACUACUACUACUACUACUACUACUUAUACUACUACUACUACUACUACUACUAAUUCUACUACUACUACUACUACUACUACUACUACUACUACUUCUACUACACCACCACUACACCACCACCACCACUACACCACCACCACCGUUCACAGUGACAAAAAACGUAUUCACACAAUGGCUGCUACUACAACUUAUAGCCCAUAUAGGGGGGCAUGCAUGUUUUACAAACAGCCCUUGUUUUGUAAGAAUUUCCUUCUUCAAUGGAGGUGGCAUAAUUUGUGUUUCUUUUAUGCAUCUGUUUUUCAAGUGCUUCAAUGACUUUUAUGGCUUCAUUUUCAAGUUUGUGUGUUUCUUUUUUUUUUAGCUUACCUGAGCACAACGUGCUCAUGGUGAGCUUUUUAGAUCGCCUUUUGUGCCUUGUCUGUCGUGCAGCGUCAACAUUUACCUUGUUAACACUUUAGAGGUCACAUUUAUUGUCCAAUCUUCAUGAAACUUGGUCAGAACAUGUGUCCCAUUAAUAUCUUGGACGAGUUCGAAAAUGCUUCUUGUUGUUGAAAAACCUGGGUGUCAGGGGGCGUGGCAGUUUUCCUAAUAUGGCUAUUGUAAAACCUUGUUAAGACUCUAGAAGUUACAUUUUUUGUUUAAUCAUCAUGAAACUUGGUCGGAACAUGUGUCCCAAUAAAAUCUUUGACAAGUUCAAAAAUGGUUCCGUUUGGAAGAAAAACAUGGCCGCCAGGGGGCGGGGCAGUUUUCCUAUUAUGGCUAUAGUAAAACUUGUUCACUCUGUAGAAGUCAAAUUCAUUGUUCAAUCUUCAUGAAACUUAGUCAGAACAUUUGUUCUAAUGAUGGGGGGGGGGGGGCAGUUGUCCUUAUAUGGCUUUAGUGAAAACUUGUUGACGCUAUAUUAGCCUUAUUUAUUGGCCAAUCUACAUGAAACUUGGUCAAAACAUUAUUUUGUCCCAAUGAAAUCUUAGCGAAGAUUGAAACUGGGUCAUAUGAGCUUAAAAACUAGGACUCUAGGUAAAAUAUAAGAAUUAACAUGUUGAAAGUCACUUUUUUGGUCUAAUCUUCAUGAAUCAGUUUGCAUUUGUCCAGAAUAGUCUAGUUCCUUUUGCUCUCAGGUGAGCGCCUUAGGGCCUAACGGCCCUGUUGUUUUAAAUGACGUGCAUCUUAUUGUUGUGUUAAGUAUCUUGCCUUUAAUUAUUUCCCAUAAGGUGUUUGGAUUUGCAUCUUUGUUAUCUUAAACUGUAUUGGUUAUUACCUGUUAUAUUUGUGUUUGAUAUUGUGUAUCUUUUCAGAAGCUAUUAUUAACUUUUAAAGUACCUUUGGCCUCUUUCAGGUUGUAUUUCAUGCAGUUAAAGUUCAACUAUCGAGUGAUCAGUCAUAAAUCCUGGUUUUUAAGUUGCAUGUGUUGAUAAGGUUGCAAAUAGACUCGCAUAUUUAAAAAAAUCUUAUCUCCAAAAUAUUGCUGUUUUUGUGUUUGAGUGCCAGGUGAAUUUUCUUUCAUUAUGAUAAACUGUAUGCCUUAUGUCUAUCAAAUUGUAGUUUUCAAUAAUGUUAUUCAAAAUGUUCCUUUUUUUGGAGUGAGUAUAAAGAUUUCCAUUACUUUUAUCUCUAAUAAUGGGUUAAGAACAUUAUUAAAAUCCUCUCCGACUAUAAUGUUCUUAUCUUGGUUAUUUAUUAUAACAUUUGGAUUCAUCUAUGUUCGGACCGUAAACGUUCAUUAAUGUUAAUUGUUUUUCGUGUAUUUUUAUAUCUAUACUUGCGUGUCUGCCAAUAAUUAUUUCGUUCAAGUAAUCCACUGUUAUUCCUGUAUGACUUUUACUCAGACAAGCGAUGCCUUGUUUAUUUGUAUGUUGUCCGCUAAGAUAAAUAUCUCCGUCCCAACCACUUUGUUUGUCAAUGUUUUUGCUAAGGUAUGUUUUAGGUGACUUUCCUGUAUAAAAAAGACAUAUAUUACUUUUUUUGUGUAACCAUUUGAAACUUUUAGUGCAUUUGUCUUUGUUAUUUAGCCCUUGUACAUUUACAGUACAUAUGUUUAUACUCACACAAAAGGACGGAAUUGCAUGAUACCAUUCUUGUUCCAAACAUUUUAAAAUCAUUGUGUAGAGCUAGAUUAUUAGUUAAUAGUUCAUUAUGUCAAGUUAUAUUAAGCUUUGAUGAUAAUAACAAUUACCUUUAAUGUUGAUACAUUGUGUUCAUUAAAUUGAUCUCAGCACGAA